This 253-nucleotide ribosomal RNA is filed under the name uncultured bacterium. Its description in RNAcentral is "partial 16S ribosomal RNA". It matches the Rfam family "Bacterial small subunit ribosomal RNA", at positions 524 to 776 of the family's 1533-position model. The record is from RNAcentral.
UACGGAGGGUCCGAGCGUUAUCCGGAAUCAUUGGGUUUAAAGGGUCCGUAGGCGGUUUAAUAAGUCAGUGGUGAAAUCUGGUCGCUCAACGAUCAAACGGCCAUUGAUACUGUUAGACUUGAAUUAUUGUGAAGUAACUAGAAUAUGUAGUGUAGCGGUGAAAUGCUUAGAUAUUACAUGGAAUACCAAUUGCGAAGGCAGGUUACUAACAAUAUAUUGACGCUGAUGGACGAAAGCGUGGGGAGCGAACAGG